RNAcentral lists this ribosomal RNA (253 nucleotides) under uncultured bacterium. RNAcentral's name for it is "partial 16S ribosomal RNA". It matches the Rfam family "Bacterial small subunit ribosomal RNA", at positions 524 to 776 of the family's 1533-position model. The record is from RNAcentral.
UACGUAGGGUGCAAGCGUUAACCGGAAUUACUGGGCGUAAAGCGUGCGCAGGCGGCUUUGCAAGACAGAUGUGAAAUCCCCGGGCUUAACCUGGGAACUGCAUUUGUGACUGCAUGGCUAGAGUGCGGCAGAGGGGGAUGGAAUUCCGCGUGUAGCAGUGAAAUGCGUAGAUAUGCGGAGGAACACCGAUGGCGAAGGCAAUCCCCUGGGCCUGCACUGACGCUCAUGCACGAAAGCGUGGGGAGCAAACAGG